Molecule: long non-coding RNA, 471 nt
Filed under: Panax ginseng (ginseng)
Lineage: Eukaryota; Viridiplantae; Streptophyta; Magnoliopsida; Apiales; Araliaceae
Description: long non-coding RNA (PGIN_LNC006590)
Source: RNAcentral
GCAUUUGGCGCAGCGGUUAAGGAUUGAUUGGGGGCGAGCCGUAAACCCGGACGUCCUUAGUUCGAACCCCGCUAGCAACAAGUGUUAAGCCAGAAAUGGUCAUGGUGGCCACGGUACCCCCGGUGCAAGUCGGGUAGCAAACCGCUCUGGUAUCGGGCUCGAGGGAUUAGUCGACCACGGUUAACAAAAAAAAAAAGAAAAAGAAAAAGAAAACAUUGCUGUAGAGAUGCAAGCAUGGAUCCAUCUUAUGAAGAUAUGAGGAAAGUGCAGUUGGUGAAGGGAAGAGAAAAGAAAAUCCCAACUUACAGUGGCAAAUGCCUUCCUAAGGUCAAUUUUAAGGGCACAUCGAGGAGGCCUAGAGGACCUAUGGUAGAUCCUGAAAAGUUCUUAAGCAAGAAGAAUAUUAUCACUAAUGUUCUGCCCUUUGAUGAACCAGUCUAGGUGUGCCAUGAAAAUUGAUUUGCGCAAGGC